UCUUCAUUUCACACGCUCUCUCACCGGUCAGAGUGACGAGAGAGUGUCUGAAUUGAAGAGA
This 61-nucleotide microRNA precursor is filed under the name Pristionchus pacificus. Its description in RNAcentral is "mir-8364 microRNA precursor family". It matches the Rfam family "mir-8364 microRNA precursor family". Lineage: Eukaryota; Metazoa; Nematoda; Chromadorea; Rhabditida; Neodiplogasteridae. The record is from Rfam by way of RNAcentral.